UUAAGCAACUGAGAAAUAGUACCUGCCAAGUUCAUGACACAAUGUUACUAAUUCAAAUUUUAGCAUAUAUAGUGCUUAAGUGCUUUGUUGAGAAAAUCACAACCAAGGAAUGGACAACCGAAUGUAUUUCAUCAAAUAGUUUGUUUACUUUGUUCAAACCAAGUAAUUAAUUGUCUAAACUAGGUUCAUUUACUUUGUUAUCAGGCUUGAGCUGAAGUGAAGUUUAAAACUGAUCUCAAAUUUUCUGUUCAAACUUGGUUAGUUAAUUUUAUGAACAGGCUCAAACUUGAUUAAAU
Molecule: long non-coding RNA, 296 nt
Organism: Quercus robur (English oak)
Lineage: Eukaryota; Viridiplantae; Streptophyta; Magnoliopsida; Fagales; Fagaceae
Exons: 3
Source: RefSeq, a predicted model, not a curated record